RNAcentral lists this ribosomal RNA (497 nucleotides) under uncultured bacterium. Its description in RNAcentral is "partial 16S ribosomal RNA". It matches the Rfam family "Bacterial small subunit ribosomal RNA", at positions 28 to 507 of the family's 1533-position model. The record is from RNAcentral.
GAUGAACGCUGGCGGCGUGCCUAAUACAUGCAAGUCGAGCGAACAGACGAGGAGCUUGCUCCUCUGACGUUAGCGGCGGACGGGUGAGUAACACGUGGAUAACCUACCUAUAAGACUGGGAUAACUUCGGGAAACCGGAGCUAAUACCGGAUAAUAUAUUGAACCGCAUGGUUCAAUAGUGAAAGACGGUUUUGCUGUCACUUAUAGAUGGAUCCGCGCCGCAUUAGCUAGUUGGUAAGGUAACGGCUUACCAAGGCAACGAUGCGUAGCCGCCCUGAGAGGGUGAUCGGCCACACUGGAACCGAGACACGGUCCAGACUCCUACGGGAGGCAGCAGUAGGGAAUCUUCCGCAAUGGGCGAAAGCCUGACGGAGCAACGCCGCGUGAGUGAUGAAGGUCUUCGGAUCGUAAAACUCUGUUAUUAGGGAAGAACAAAUGUGUAAGUAACUAUGCACGUCUUGACGGUACCUAAUCAGAAAGCCACGGCUAACUACGUG